CAACAACUCACCAACCGCUGCCGCUGCAGUCUGCUGCGCCUCUACUGAGGUGACUCUGCUCUCCCACUGGGCUUCAAUUCUCAACAAGCCUCGAAAAGGCCCUCUCUCUGCUGUUCACCACUGCACCAGUUCCUGGGCUCAGAACGAUAGCCUUCGGGAUCCCUGCGCCGUGCUGCUGUCCGGGCGGGGCUCCCGCUGCGGCCUGCGCGCAGGCGCACCGGGUGUUCCUGGGGCCUCUGACUGGGGCCUCUGACUGGGGCCUUCGCUCUCCUGUUUCUGGCUUCCCCGUCGGCCUCUCUGGCUGGGGCCUGCGCGCCCUUAAGACUGGUGUCCCCUCGGGCCUCUACCUGGGGCCUCUACUGGGGCUUCUGACUGGGGCCUCUGCGCCUGCGCUGAUGGGAGGAAAAGUGGUUACAAAGCAGGCUGGCUGAAAAACAAAACAAAACAGAAAAGAAACAAGAUGUAUCAUGCACAUGUACCCACUCCCCAAGAUGAUUGUAAAUUAUAGCACUACAA
This 516-nucleotide long non-coding RNA is filed under the name Heterocephalus glaber (naked mole-rat). RNAcentral describes it as "lncRNA (ENSHGLG00100031208.2)". The record is from RNAcentral. Lineage: Eukaryota; Metazoa; Chordata; Mammalia; Rodentia; Bathyergidae.